AUUGAUCAUGUUCAUUUAUUCUUUUCAGGAAAAUAAAGGAAUAAUAUUCCACUAAUUGUGAGCGACUCACUUGUCAGCCUUCGUGAUAUUAAGACUGAAGUGUAAAAUUACAGAUUUGUUUUUUUUUUUUUUUUAUUCAUAUUGCCAUCCCAUAGUACAGUCUUGUAACUUUUUUGGAAACCCUCCCUGGCUGUGAUAGUGAAGCUGUGGCUGGAUAUGUUUACUCUUCAGUUGUCUCAAUCCAUGGUUGAACCAGUUCCUCUAGUUAUCAUUCUAAAAGGAAUGAUGUAGACCUGUACCUAAUUACCCAUGGCAGAAGAUGCACUAACCACUAACACUCAUUGGAGUCAAAGCAAGCAGCAGUGCACUACAGUACAUGAUACUGUAUUGUAAUACAGCUCAAAAUGUAUCCAUGGUUCAGAGGAAUUACAAAAGUUACAGCAAAGAAACACAAACUUCGUCAGAUAGAUUUCCUUGCCUCAACCUUUUGGGGGCUCCAUAUGACAGUGCAAGAGUCCAUGUAGGAUCUUAAUUGUCUCAGUUUGCUAUUUAGAGCGGAAACUCCUUGUACCACAUCAAAUAGCCACUGAGUGGAUGCUCAGUGACCCAAACCAGCCAUCUUAUUGUUUGAACUUGAACUCUCCACUGACCAACUAAGGCUGGCGUUUGUUUGAUAAUUAUCUCUUCAUUCCUUUCAACCAUUCUCUGGUAACCAGUGAUGGAGUGUGGAGAUGCUAUUGCGUACUGUCCUGCUGCCACGGAUUGGCCUCAUUCUCUCGUAACAUGAUGGGAUAGAAUGUUAUGCAACAGCCCCACAGCACAGUACUGUUUCAGUGGGAAGAACUGUCAUCUGUUGGAGAGAACGAUUAGCGGCUGUAAGCAGAGAGGGGAGGCAGUUCUCUCUGCUACAUGUGUUUAUUUGUGUCAGGAGCUGGUUAAGUGAGGGACAGCUGACGAAAGCAGAGUGGCUAUACUAAGAUAACCUCUUGGCUAUUACAUGGAUGUGGACUCCAGUGGAUAAAGGGACUCCGUCUUACUGAACUGUGAAGAAUCCAAAAUCACAAGGAGCAGCAAAUGACAUAAAGUCUGAUGAUUCCAAAACUCUGGGACAAAGAACUGUUUGCAAACCACACCAAAACUGUACUUCCAGCACCAUCCAGUUACAAUCACUUUGACUGUACAGCAGAGGAUGUGUAACUGGUUGUUAGUGCCAGUGUCUCUGAAAGCUCAAUGGAUGUGAACCAGGUUAAUGACAUUAGUUGAUAUCUGUUUGUCGAUUUAAGCCCCAGUAUAGGCCUGCUCUUCCUCAGCAUUUGUAAUGUAGUCAACUGUGGCACAGACUGCUGUACUGUGCUGUACCAGUGUUUUACGGUGAAAGCAUCAUUGUACUGAUGAUAAUAAUUAUGAACAACAGGUGACACUACACUGCCCUGUCUACUAACCUUGUGCCUUAAAAAUGAUUGACACCAAGUGCGAUUGGGUUCUUAAAUAAAAUGAUUUGAAGGUUACAGUGGAAGCUCAUGCACCAAGACAGAAAUGUCAUGAGUCAACAACCACGUUGUCUAAUGCAGGUUUCUGUCUGCAAAAUGUGUAGCCAGUCAGUGAAAUAUUUUCCUUUUAAUGAUGUCACACUUUCUAAAUAAUAUCCCAGUCUGCAGUAAUGUCGUUAAAUUGUGGUUGUUUGAUGUCCCCCCUCAACCUAAACACUGAAGUGCAAUCAUGACACUGAAGCUGAAAUAUAAAAGAAUUGAACUAAAAUUGAGACACCAGUGGUAUGUAUACCCUCUUGUAAACCAUGCUUACCCUGACAUUUCACAAAUCUGUGGCACACUCCAAGGCAGAGGGAAUAUGCUCUUCUGAAGGUGUACUAGACAUGUAUAAGCAGGUCAACUCCAGAAAAUACUGUGCAGGUGCAACCAAACAAUGUAUAGCAGGGAAUUCAAAGUGAUCUUAUUGGGCAUUAGUUCUUGUUGAAUCCAAAGAGGCCCUGUAGGACUAAAUUACAUUUCUGUGCUUAUCAUCACCACAUUACCAUAUUUGCUAAAUUUAUGAACAGUUGAUUAUUUGGUGGACGAACAGCUGUUUUAGUACCUGUGUAUAUAUACUUUUUACAUUGAGGAUGAGUGUGGCAUCCUCACCAACUAAAAUAAUUAGCUGAGUACAUUCAAAGAUACCAAGUAAGUGAGUAACUUGCUGUCAUCUUGUGAAGUGAUGUUAAGCAUUGUUCUAUAUGCAUGCUGUAGGCAUGUGGCUGGUGUGGAAUAUAUAAUGUGUAAAGGGUAAUUGAAAAGAACAGCCUAAGCAGUAUUGUGCAAUCUGACAGAAAUUUUCUUGAGUAACGGAUUGGAGAAAUGUAACAGGAAAAUCUAAGAUUUUACUAUUUGGGAACAAUCCGCAAAAGCAGCCAUCUGAAACCAACUCAAUUCAUCGUCUCUUCUGUCUUCUCCUUAUGCAAAUGCUUUAAACACUUUCGAGUGGCAUGUAAUAUGUUGGAGCCGUUCAGGCUGUGCUCAGUUGGUUGUAACCUAUUAUCUGUGUUGGGAAAUUAUUGCUAGUUUGUGCUCUGAUUAAUGAAAAUGUAUCACUACAACUGCAAAGUGGAGUAAACAUGUACACCGAUCAGGCGUAACAUUUUGACCAUCUGCCAGAUACUGUGUUGGUCCCCUUUAUGCUGCUGCAACUCCUCUGACCCUGUGGGGCACACAGUACCUCUGGGGAUGUGCUGUAACACCGGGAUGGUGGCAGUGAAUUCUGUGGAUCCUGUGGGUUGCAGGGUGGGACCUAUCUACAUCAGGCUUGUCCUGGCACAUCCUAUGGAUGCUCAGUAAGAUUUGGAUCUGGGGAGGGUGGGACCUGAGUGAGUGGGGUGCAUUGUCCUACUGAGGGUGGCAACUGGCAUCAAGGACUGCUGUUGCUUGGUGGGUGGUACAUGUCAAACAUCCACAUGAAUGUCCAGGCUCAAGGUUUCCCAGCAGAACGUUGCAUUCUAACAAGAUGAUUGAUGGUAUUCACUUCAUCUGUCAGUGGUCAUAAUGUUGUGGCUGAUCGGUGUAUGCUACUAUAGAGUCAUGAAAACUUCCAGAUAAAUGGAAAAUAACAGAAAGUUAAAUUCAAAGUAACUUCAACACAGACCAGAGGUUUCAUUUUGGUUUCAUAGUGUAUUGUUUGGCUUCAGUUCAGCGACUCAGCAGUUUCAGUAGAUUUUGAGGAAUUUAUAGUGUGGUCCUACCUCAUUCUCAGCACUCUGAAAGAUCCUAUCCAGUUUGACUCCUCUUUGACAAUCUUGUCUUAGUUUCUAAUACAGGGAGUACUUUCCUUAAGAAUGUUAGAUUUUUACCUCAGACUUUGUCUCUUUUAAUUUAAACCAACCUCUAACAGACUUUUCUGUGUGGUGUUUUGCUUAGCAAGAAACGCCUAGCUUAUCCCUUUGAACAGCUGUAUAACAGAGCAAGUCCAGCCCCAUAUCCACACAACAAUAUGUUAUAUGUAUUCAACAACUACAAUUAGGUUAAGAUCGUAUCUGUAUCUAUUCAUGCAGAUCUCAGUGUAUUUCAAACUAGCUCAUAUAAUUAAUUACAUACAAGGGGGACAAUUUUUGCAAGUAAAAAAGAAGUUACAUAUGAUUGUAACAAAUAACUACAUAAGUUUUGACUUACCAAGGCAAAAUUAUGAGAUAAAAAGUCAACAAACUUAUGCCUUACCCCUGGUCAGUCACUGUACGAAGUUGGCCUGAUUGAUGGAUAGUUUCUGGAAAAUUACAAAAACUGUUUGUAGCACACUGAGUUCUCAUCGAUAGAUUUCACGUGUUGUAAAAGAUCUUUUUUUAUGUUAUGAGACAUGCUGACAUGUACUUCUUUUGAAGAAAUCUCAAGAGUUGGUUAGACUAAACACACAAACAAACAAAACAAGUGCAUCCAAAGCUAACAAAAUUGCACAUGUGGAAGCAGAGAACUGGAUUUGUGUGUGAUUUUAAGUGACUUUUUCUUUUGAGUGUUUUAGUUUAAUCAAAAAUGAACACACCUCAAUGCUUGUGGGCACUGUAGUUGUUGAAUACUAACAACACUAUUGCUUUUGUUAAAACAUGAAGGUGUUUUUGUAUGUGUUCAACACAUACAAAGUCCUCUUACUUUUGGGAUGUUGAACCUCUUACCUUCUGUAUGCUUGUUUUACCAGUAAACCUAACAUGGCUAUGACACAUGGUUAAUGCAUAAGCUACAAAACCAUUGUUACUAAAAUGUAUUACCAACAUGCCCUGCUGUCACUUUUUGUAUGAGCCAGUUUGUUUAUCUCUCUUCAGACUAGUAAUGACUCCACUUGAAAACACUUCACACUAUGCAAACUAUUUUACUGUUUCACUGUAAACACCGCAAAAAGCCACACCAUUCUCAAAAUAUUGUAUGUUAUGUCUUCUUUUACUGCAUUUUUGCAAUUUGUACAAAAUGUCUUUGAAUAAAAUAAGUUUUUGUUGAUGAAGCAAAAAGGAGCCAUUAGAUGUUUGAGAAUACAUCGUUUUUUUUGCUUUAAAUAUGUGUGAUGUUUCUUGGAAUAAAUGAUAAAAACUAUGACUGCCAGG
Amphiprion ocellaris (clown anemonefish) is the source of this 4573-nucleotide long non-coding RNA. NCBI's taxonomy places the organism in Eukaryota, Metazoa, Chordata, Actinopteri, Pomacentridae. The record is from Ensembl.